This 251-nucleotide unclassified non-coding RNA is filed under the name uncultured fungus. RNAcentral describes it as "sequence contains ITS1, 5.8S rRNA gene". The stretch from base 203 to 251 matches the Rfam family "5.8S ribosomal RNA", at positions 1 to 49 of the family's 154-position model. Lineage: Eukaryota; Fungi. The record is from RNAcentral.
UCUCCGUUGGUGAACCAGCGGAGGGAUCAUUACAGAGUUUUCUAAACUCCCAACCCAUGUGAAUCUUACCUAUCGUUGCCUCGGCGGGUCGGGCUGAUGCUUGGGAUGGCUACUCUGUAGCUACCCUGCAGAGGCCGCCGCCGGUGGGAAUUUAAACUAUUGCCAUGUAUUGUCAUCUGAGAGUCUUAUGAGAAUAAGUCAAAACCUUUAACAACGGAUCUCUUGGUUCUGGCAUCGAUGAAGAACGCAGC